GGGGAGGGAGAGGGGGGUGAGGGGGAGGGGAGAAGGGAGAGGGGGAGAGGGACAGAAUGUAAAUAUCUAUGUUUUCUGAUGGUCUUAAGUGCAGUCCCCCAAAGAGCAGGGUCUACAGGCAGGUAAACUAUGCUUUUUUUUUUUCAGACUGUGCUUUUUUUGUGUUUAUGUUUACAAGUCAUGUAAACUUGCAGUUCUGCAUGGCACUAACUCCUAUUACAGCUUUCUGAGACACAGCUGCAAUCUUUCUUGGUUAUCAUAUUUAGCUCUCUGUCUACCUGAUGGUCUGGGGUAAUUCCUUUCUGGAAUAGGUCCAUGCAAUUUAGAAGCCAUUCUUAACUUAUUCUGUUACAAUUAACUGCAUUGAAGCAAGAAUACAUGAAUUAAAGGGCAAUGGUAGUAUACUUCAAGGAAAUGGGGCUUCUGGUAAGCCAGCAAUUCCAACACAGCUCAGACCCUGUUCUUUCUUCUAGCAGGUCUCAUUGUCAGUGGCAAGCACUUUGUUUCUCAUCCCUUAUGCUCCUAACUUCAUGGUUUUAACCCUAACAGGACUUUUCUUUGUGUUGUUUGUAACAGGGUCUCACUAUGUAGCCCUGCCUGGCCUGGAACUUGCUAUGUUGGCCAGUCUGUCCCUCUGCUUCCAAUCAGCAUUCCUUUUAACCCUAACUUCUGUUCUGCCUGCGUCAACAAUUUAACACGGGUUUCUUUGGGUGUUGAGGACUCAACCUGGUGCAGUGUCCCAGGCAAGUGUUCUAUUUUUAAAAGAUGUUUAUCUUAUUGAUAGUUAACUUUGAUUGUCAAACAGACUGCUCUCCAAAUUCUAAUACUCCCUCACUCCUUCAGAGUGCACUUCCUUAAUUAACUCACUGGGGUUUGUCAGACUUGUUUUGUCUCCAGAGAAAAAUAAUAUCUUUAAUCAGUUUAUCACCAUACUACUUUUCAUCCCUCUUCUGCUUCCCUCUUCUCCUCUAUUAGUCCCAUGUUUUUCGUCCUGGGUCUCCUUGUCUCCUCUCCUCCCUCCUCCCUUCCCUUUUGCCAGCAAACCUUCUUUAAAAACUUAAAGUAGGACUCAAGUGGAGUAGACAAACAAAACAAAACAAAACACAGUUUCAAGCUUUGGGAAGACAACUGUGCCUGAGAUUAACAUGGAAAAUGGAGAAGGGAUUUAUGCUAGUAAUCACAGUACUCCAGAAGCAAAGUGGGGAGGGCCACUCUGGGUUACAGAGUAAGAUUCUAUCUUUAAAAAAAAAGAAAAAAGAAAAGAAAGAAAAAAACCUUUGGCGACGUUGGUUAAUGUAGGCUCAGAUUUUUCAAAACCUACUUUAAUAAGGGUUCUUAAACACUUUAACCUCCCUUGUAGACCACCACCCCCCAGAGGUAAUAGAAAGAAAAGGAUAGUAAAGCAAAGGGGGAUGUGGGCCUGUUCAGAAAUAGUUCUGUAGGGCAAUUCCAGUCUUCCUUGUCAGGAUAUCAGCGGUUCAGUUCACACAAAUCAGCAGCAGUAGCUCCAUCUACACAUAGACACCAUUCUUGAGUCAGGAAUGGUAAUUCCAUCCAGAAGAAACCACAGGGCUCUGCCAAUCAUCCCGAGUCUGCAGAACUGGCAAGAAGCCACCAGAAUAUCAUGAGAAAUUCUUUGGUGCAUUUCUCUCUUUGAAGUCACAACAAAUAAUGAUCAGCAAAGAAGGCAAGAAAAACCAGUGCCACAGCAUUGUCAAUGAAGACCAGCAUCAGCAAACCCUCAUGAAGACUAGUCAAGCAGGAAGGCAAUGCCAGAGCAUCAUCCACUGUCUGUUGGGUUAUACUUAUACCCUUUCCAAACAUUGCAUGUCUUCUCAAGCAUCUGCUCCAGCAAAACCUUACAUGCCCCUCUUCCAGGCUGCUUCCAGAAAAAUACCACUCAGCAAAACAGCCUCUAAUAAGACGGUCCAGAAAAUCAUCACAUGACACAACUGAAUCUCCAAGGAAACCAGAAAUUCCCACUUCAUAUCCCUUUUUCUGUUUAAAAAAAAAAAAGUCCUUUUCCCCUAACAUUAACAAUCUACACACAAUAGAAACAAUUAUAAGAACCAUAAAACUAGAACUUUACCUCAUACUUUAAACAAAUAGCUUAUGUACAAGACAGUCUGACAAUAGUCUAACAAAACAACCUUAAAUUGCUAUCAAUAUACAAUAAUAAACCAAACAGCAUGAAAUUUCUAUCAAUUAAACAAAACAACCUAUUACCCUAUAGGUAAUAACCAUAUGAUAACCAUAACUAGCGUCAAAGGACCAAAACCAUUCAUUCCAAUUUAAGGAAUCUGGAUGAUGGUUCUUAUAAUUUCUUCCUGCUAAAUUGGGGCAAAGAAUUCCUGUUUGGGCUGAAGUGGGGAAAAUAGUUAAUUUGAAAGAAGCUACAGCUAGCUGUAGCAUUUGUUGACCAGUCUCUGAGUUUAUCCAGUCUCCUUGUUGUCUCUCCAGUCUGUGCAUCCUCUAGUUCUUGUGUGACAGUCAAGUGGAAUAACCCUUUUGAAGUUUGUUUUUUUGAGAAAUAGUAACUGAGACAGUCUGUGAGAGUGAAUCACCUAGGCAAUUUACUUUGUGAAGACAUUCCUGUCUCAGAUGACAAGAGGUUUCCUCUGCUCAAAUUUAAUUUUUGUAAGUUUCAUUGGUAAACACACUUUUUCAUUCCCCAUAGAUACAUAAGCAUAACUACGUCCCUAUCUUAAAACUAUUGUAGGUUUCCAUUCUAACAUCAACAUGCCCUUAGAGUAUAUUGGUUGGCCUCGUUCCUCAGUUUUUUUGAUAACCCAGCUGCUGUUCCUUUUCCACAUACAUUAAGAAAAUUUAGAGUUAACACAGCAUUAUUUAGUCUGUCCCUGGGGGAUUUUUAUUUUCCCUUUUUGUUUAAUAAGCAUCUCUUUUGAGGUAGGAUUGGUUCUUUCUAUAAUUUCUUGUCCUGUGGGAUUGCAUGGUAUGCCAGUAGCAUGCUUUAUAUUGUAAUAUGCAAAGAAUUGCUUCAACUUAUUGGAUACAUAUGUGAGAGCAUGGCUGGUUUUAACUUGUCUAAGUAUUUCCAUAAUUGCCUUUAUUUCUAAUAAGUGUGUAAUUAUACAAUCAGCUUUUUUAGAACUUAAAACAGUUCCCCACUGAAACUCUGAGUUCAUGCCAGUGGUAUGGUGUUGAAAGAAUAAAGAUCUUAAACUAGCCCCCACUGACCCUGCUGUGAGGACAAGUGCACCUCACAGCAAAGAAUAACAUAACAUGUUUUGGGGAUGUAGCCUGACUAUAGCUACCACAAAUCAUCUGGCCUCGAUAAGGCCUGACUCAACAGUCCUGAGAAAAACGAGAAUUAGGGUCAACUUGCCCCAGAAGCAGGGUGGCCUAGAGUUGAACUGAGCCCAAGUUACAAACCAAUGAAAUUGCUUUGUGUGACUGUUGCCAACUGCCUAUGUAAUUUUCCCUAUAAAUACCUUCCCCUAAUUGGGCUCGGGGUCGACUCCUCUGUCUCCUGUGUGAGAUACGUGUCAUCCCCAGAGCUCUGGUUCCUCAAAUACACCUCCUGUUUAUUACAUCAAGAUCGGUUUCUCAUGAGUUCUUGGGGGUUGCGUCGUCUCUAGAUUUGAGUGGGGGUCUUCCCCACCCCGGUGGUCUUUCAGUGUAUACACAAAUCCUGAGAAUGGAAAACAUCCCUCUGCCAGAUGUCAUUUCUUUUUGAACCCCUAGGGUUUCUACCAGCAGAGAAGGGAGUUUGUUUGGAGAACAUGUAGGACAUGUUUUCAUUAUUUCUUUGGCUUGUUGGCAAGGGAUGGAAAAUUUUUGCUUUAAACCUUUCCCAUUAACAUAAUGGUUUUCAUAAGAAUUUGAGAGUUCUAACACAUUUCCUAUUAGUAACUGGUCGAUUUUCUCAUUUCCUUGAGCUAAUGGACAAGGCAAACCUGUAUGAGACAGAAUAUGAGUAAUAUAUAAUAGAUAAUUUCUACGUCUGACAACCUGUUGCAAUUGUAUAAAUACCAAAGUUAACUGAGUCAUCAGGUACAAAUUCAGCAGUCUCUAUAUGCAAAAUAACUUUCUGCAUAUAAAGAAUCUGUAAUUACGUUAAGAGGUUCAGAAUACCUAAUACUACUAUACUGAUAGCAUACAAUUCUGAUUUUUGAAUCGAUGGAUAUGGACUUUUGACCACCGUGCUUAUUUUAUCUGACUUAUGACCUGCCAUUCCCAUCUUGUUUGCAUCAGUAUAAUAAGUUAUGCCUCUGGGAAUUGGGGUUCUCUUUAGAAUAAGUGGAAGAAUCCAGUUAGAUCUUUUUAUAAACUGUUUGUUUGUCUUUCAGUUAUUUAUUAUUAUUUUCACUCACAUAGUUGCUAUAAUCUCUUUGCCAAUCUUCAUUGAUCACCAAUAAUGACAUAAUCUCAGCAUCUAUAAGAGGUACUACAAUUUUGGCUGGAGGUGUUCCUGACAACUGACAUAAUCUUAUUCAACCUUUUAUAAUCAAUCCAGAAAUCUUUUCUGGAUAUGUCUUCAAUUUGUACUUUGUUUAUGAGCUAAGAAAAUACAUUCCAUAAUAUUUUCUUCCCUUUGCAUGAUGAGCCCAGUAGGUGAAUGACCAGAAUUCAAUAAAGUUUAGGAUCAAGUCGAUCUACAUAUGCCUCUUGCAAUCUUUGUUCUACAAGAGUUAAUUCUUUUUCUGCUUCAUCUGUUAGACAUCUUGGAGUGUUUAAAGUAGAAUCUCCUUGUAUUGUUUGAAACAAAUUACUUAACUCAUAUAUACUUAAUCCAAUUGUAGGCCUCAGCCUGUUAAUAUCUUCCAUUAAUUUUUGAAAAUCAUUGUGUUCGAAAUUGGUCUCUAUGGAUCUGUAUCUUUUGUUAUCAAAUUUUUGUUGACUGAUUUUAUUUAACCCAAGUAACUAAGUGAAUCUCCUCUUUGUAUUUUUCCAUUAUCAUCCUCAAUUUCUUGAUUUCUUUUUCUUUUUCUUUUUUUUUUUACAAUAAACGCAGAAAUUCCAGCUACUCUUGUAUCAGUUGUUGAAGGGCCUGCCAUUUUUCUUUUGUUAUGGACCCCUGCUCUUGCUAUUCAGGUCAGUUUGAUAACCAUUUUAAGGGCAAGGCUGUGGGUAUGUCAGCAGUCGCCCCUUUUAUAAAUGUGGAAAUUCAAUCCUUGUAUUAUCCUGGGUUUGGGUUACGAGAACAGCUUGUGGUUGUUCUUCAUCACCAGUAUCAAUAUCUUCCCCAGGAUCUACCAUAUUGCCCCUAAUUUCUUCACUUAAUAUCCCUGGAAUUGCAGGGAUAUUAACUUGAGUAUCCCAUUAUUGUAAAAGAUCUCUUCCCCAUAAGUUCAUGGGUAUUGCAGCCGCAUAAGAUCUCAACUUCCCUGUUUGCCCUUCUGGUCCCACACAGGUAUUCCAUUGGACACUUUGUCUUAUUCAUGAUAAUUUACCAAAUCCUCUAAAUGUGUUUAAACCUUCUGAAGUGGCCAAUCUGGAUUCCACGACUUUUGGGAAAGUGUACUAACAUCAGCUCCUGUAUCCACAAAUCCACGGAAGAAGUUCCUCUCAUGGUCAGGAUGCGUGUGACUGGUGGCAGAACACCUGGCGACACCCUCUGGGUGUCUGCGGGUGAGGCAGAGGUUCUUGCUUCUGUGUUCUGCUGCUAGGAACUUGCGAGACUCCUCCCCUCAACUCCGUAACCUGCAGUCUACCUCUCUUGACAAAGCGACACCGGAGUUUGCACAAAUCAUCUGCCUCGAAACUCCGUCAAAAGAUAUUCAGGGCUGGAGCGACAACCUGACUUAAGUUUCCAGAACCUUCAUUGGAGGGCUUGCAAAAGCCUCUAACUCCAAUUCCAGGGGAAUCCAAUGUUGUGUUCCGAACAUCGUGGGCAACUGCACUGAUGUCACAACUCCUCCGUGGUACAUACAUGCGUACGAAUAAUUAAAAAUAAAAAGGAAAAUCUUUAAAAGCAGAUAUUUAAGUGUAACUCUAGCAAGCUUGUUUUGCAGCCCAAGCUAGUCUUGAACUCCAGAUACUAUUCUGAGUUUAGCCUCAGGAAUUCAAAACCGUACCAGGCUUUGAUUUCACUGCUUUAUGCUGUUCCGUUGGCGUGGAGGUCUUAAAUCUUGAGUGUGUGUGUGUGUGUGUGAGUGUGUGUGUGUGUGUGUGUGUGUGUGUGUGUGUUGGAGUGAAGGAGGGGUGUGUUUUUAUAAUCAAAUCAUCUUUUACCCUAAAAUAAUUGUAUGACUCUGACCUUGUAGUUUAGACAACAGUUGAAAAUGAUUUGUGCUCCUUCAUCUCUAUCAUGUAACAAUAAAAGUGUCUGAAGUUUUGUGUUUGUGGCCAGGUAAUUAAAGUGAUGGACUCUGGGUUAUUGGGCUUUUUCAGCAGCAGAUUCGAUUCCUACACAUUGAAGUUACAUUUUUACUGAUUCAGGCUGGUUAUGAUAUCUGAAUUACAGUAGGACAAAAAACAAGUAAAUAAUUCGUGUGGAAUUCUUGACUAAACCUAGCCUUUUGCCCAGGCUAGAAUUUUACAUCAUAGGGAUAUUUAGAAAUAUAUUUUCAACUUUGAUUUAUUCUUUCCAAUAACAUAGAAUACUGGUAGAAUAGCCAUAUUUAACUUCAUUAGGCAUAAACAAGUAGCAAUAUCUGUUGCUCUCCUCGUUAGUAUAGUGAUGAGUAUUCCCCGCCUGCCACGCGGGAGGCUGGGGCUCGAUUCCCCUAUGGGGAGUAUUUGGCCAAACUUUUAACCGUGAAUCUUUGUACAACUACAGCUUUCCUGAGCACAAGAGGAAUCUAGGUUCAAAUGGAAAACACCUUGGAAGUUAAGAACCAGGUGUCUGAUACUUGCCUCGUGUUUACAGUGAGAACCGACAAUGUAAAGCUGUGCGUUUUAGGCCCCAAACCUGAAGUUAAGACAACCGUGUGACCCAAGUGUGAUUUAUGCAGCGGCCUUGGUGACCUGAUCAAGUUCUCUAAUACCCGAAGUCUCCAGCAAAGCACUUGUAAAUGUACAUUUAAAAAAAAUGAAAAAAAGCUUUCGGAAUGGAAAACAACUACCAUAAAGCCGUAGGGAUCAAUACUGUGUGGUUUCUACUCAGGAAAAUCCACAGCUUGCCAAGAGGUGGAACCUUCCAAGGACAUCUCCGUACCCUAAGAAGUCGUGCACAGAUCGUACUUAAUGAAAGUACACUCCCACAAUUGUCCCUUCAAUUGGGGACUAGACAAAGAUUCCGGAACCCUCAAAGACCACCACGCAGUCUCAGACAUUGAGAUGAAGCCGUCUAUGUCCUGCUGGGUCCGCAGAGCAGUGGAGGAAGACCGGAGGCGGUGGAGACUAGGGACGCAGGUCCUGAGUUCAACUCCCAGCAACCACAUGGUGGCUCAUGACCAUCUGUAAUGGAAUCCGAUUCCCUCUUCUCGUGUAUGUGAAGACAGCUACAGUGUAACUCAUACAUAGAAUAAAAUAAAUUAAAAAAAUCUAUUGGUAAAGGGAUUUUUCUUUUUGUUUCACUUGUUGGUUGGUUUCAUUUAGGAACUCCUACUUUCCUUUCUCUUGCCAAUAUACCUGCUUCCAUCUCUCAAGAACUGGGAUGGCCAGCUUGGGCUACCACACUUGUCUAGCUGGCUUCAUUUUAGUAGCUCCACAAGGUAAAGAGUGUGGUCCUGAGCAUACAAUGUGGCUGCUGGAGUCUGGUCCUGAGGAUACAAUGUAGCUGCUGGUUUAGAGCAUCUUAAGAACAAGAAGUAGAGAAUGCUGUCUGUAAACAUUCUAGUUCUUGAUUAAACCUUGAAAGGGAAUCUACAUUUAACGACAGCUACUUUAUUUAAUUUGUGUAGUUGUGAUUGAGCAGUUAAGGUGAUAGACUAGUAAUCCAUUUAGGAUUCAGAAUUUACAAAAUCUUAACUAGAUUCAAAAUGUUCUGAAGUUUGGAAAACUUCUGGGAUGGGGGGGGGGAGGAGAAACGAAAGGAAGAAAAAAAAAGAAAGGUGACCAAUUAUAAACAAAAACCUCAUGCUAAGGUCCACCCUUCUUUACCCAGUGUGGUGCUGGGAUUGUGUCUCUCCCAGGAAGAAGCUCAGGGAAUCACCCUCUUACAGAGGAGAUCUAGAAUCUUACUUAACCUGUUUGUAAUACAAGUAAGGAGUGUCAGAUGUAAAUUCUACAAGGUAAAUACUUUUUGCUACCAGGUGACUGAAAAACUAAAAGAUCCAAAUCCCCAGAAUGGUAAUAAAUAAUUAAAUCAUUAGUGUAGAGUUUAUUUUCUCUUGCAUAUUAGGGAUUCUUUAAAUGGUGACAUGGAUCCCAUUUGUUGGUUACGUAUUUAUUUAAACAUUUGUUUCUCUCUUGCAUAAGGGUCUUACUCUGUACACUACCCUGGCUUGAGACUCAAGGCAAUCCUACCUCAGCCUCUGAGUACAUAGAUUACUUGCCGGAACCAACCGACUCAGCUGAAGCGCUUGUAUGUACAUGUAGUAAAUGUGUCCAAUUGAUGGGAAUAGGCCACCGGAGGACAGAGGGGAAUGGUGUCUGCAGAAGGAGGAGGCGGCAGUCCAGAGGAGGUGGCUUUGGUGGAAAGGACGCGACUGUUUAAAAUUUGAAAGACUUUGCAGGACUCUUUCCCUGGAGAGCCAACAUUCCUGAGCAAAAAGAGGAGUGCUGAUAACCACUUUAGAAAACCUAAAUCCAAAAUCCAGGGAAGUAAUUCUUGAUCUAGCCUUCGCGCUCUUGAUUUCCAACCAGGAAGAGCCCAUUGGCAAUCUCGGGCAGGCGUGAAUCACAAAACCUAAAUUUAAAAAGUAUGAAGACGGUGAAAAAAUGAUUUACUAAAGACAAACUAAAUUACUGAAUUAAAGCAAAACAGAAUCGACUGUUGAAGAAACUAUACAUAAACUUCAGAAAACCCUUGCACAAUAGCAGAGUGGCGCAGCGGAAGCGUGCUGGGCCCAUAACCCAGAGGUCGAUGGAUCGAAACCAUCCUCUGCUAUGAAAUUAUUUCUCUUUUCUUACAACAGUGUUCGCUCUCAGAGUUUCCAUGACUUUAUCGCAGUAAAAAUUCUGAGAUCACAGUAUAAGUUCCGAGGUCUUUGCUCCAUAGAAAUGCUGAUGUUUGUUACAUCUUUUUUAAGAUUCUUUUUUUUUUCUUCUUCUUUUUUCUUUUUUUCGGAGCUGGGGACCGAACCCAGGGCCUUGCGCUUGCUAGGCAAGCGCAAGCACUCUACCACUGAGCUAAAUCCCCAACCCCUUGUUACAUCUUUGAUUGAUGGAACCCCUUAUUACAUCAACCACCAAGUUGUGUUUGCCUUUCAGUGGUGAUGUUUGUUAUCAAGCAUUUCAGUCCAGGAUAGCCUUGAACUCAAGACAAUCCUGCGUCAGUGUCCUAGUUUUAGUGUUUUUAUGGAAUGAGUUCAAGACAACAAGGAGGGAAAGCACUUCUAUCUAGAUAGGUGCUCCGUGUCUCUAGGUGUGGACUGGGCAGAGAUCUGGUAGUGAGAGUCUGCUUGGCCUUAGAGGAAAGAAAGAUGAGGAGAAGGGGGCUUGAAUGAGAGAUUAUAAGGGGAGAAAAGGACAAGACAAAAAUCAAAGAAGGGGAAAGAAUGCAAAGCCCUGUGAGCAGGUGCACAGAAGGGAGAAAAUGAAGGGAAUGUGCAGAAGAAAGAAGUGAGAUUCGGGAGCAACUGAAUGCAGAAGAGAGGUGGAGGGGAUUUCAUGGCCCUUGUGCAGCUGAAGAAGACGAUAGUGCAGUUCAUUGUAUCUCAGAUAUACAUUAGAAUGAAAUAGUUGCUUUUCACUGUAUCUGAGGUAAACAUCCAAAUGAAUAGCUGUUUUCUUUAAGUACCUUGUAGAAAUCAUUGUAGAAAACAGUGAUUGUAAUCUGUUCUCUAUACAGUUGUUUUUCUGAAGGAGCUUCACAGCCUUGGCAUGACUGUGGCCACAAGAUGGUCGUGGAACACUUAGAAUCUCCUGCAUUAUUGAGUACUGGGAACAGUGUACAUUAAGGACUAAAGUUGCAGAGGUGUGACAGUUUCCUUCAUGAAACAUAUAGAUUAGAUUGGGAGCUUUGGUAUGAGGAACUUGUACCUAAAAAACAACUUUUGUGUAAUAAUCAAUAAAUAUACUGUUGAGUGGCAGCCGAAGUUCAGUUCAGAUUAAGGCUGGAUCUCUCUGCUGCCCCAGAACCUGAUUACAUUCUAGAGCGAUCGACCUGCACAACUCAGAACACAACAGAAGACUGAUUUUCCUGCACAGAAACAGUCUGUGAAAUUAACUUUAUCCAGUUCAGAGGAAACUCAGGACUAAAGGAAGACUUCCCCAUUUGAAACCGCACCAUGAAAAGGUCCUCUAACAACUUUCAGUCUUUAUUAACAGCUCUUCUUAUACAAGUGACCAUUAUAUUUUGUGGUCUUGGAGAUGGAGCCUCAAACCUGGUGCUUGCUGAGUGAAUGCUCUGCCCACUGAACUAUUUUCCAGCCCAGGUUUUACUUUUAUCUUGAGCAAAAGUUUUACAAAGUUGCCUAUGGUGUACUCUGGAGUUCAGACAGCCUUAAAUUUGAAACCUUCUCAGUCAGGCUCCCAAGUAGAAUAAUAAGCCUGUAGCACCAGGCCUGACUCCAUUAUAGUAGCCCAGGCUAGCCUUCAGCUAAUUCUGUAAUGGGGUAUGAUGAUCUUGAACCUCUGGACCCUUUUCCUGCUACUCAGCAAUACUCCUCCCACUCCCAGGUCAUUAAUUUUGGAAACUCUGGUGUGACUAUCACUUUAUGACUCCCUGAACUACUGGCACCCUGUCUGGCUGUUUCUAGCCAGACAGAAAGAAAACAAAUACUCAACAUGUUUUUCCAACAAAGAGCUCUACAGUAUACCACCGAGAUAUGAAAUUUUGCAUGUACUGCAUGUCUGUAAUCCCAGAACUUGGGAGGCAGAGGCAGGAGGACUACAGAAAUUCAGUGCAGGGCAACCAGGAGUUCAAGGUCAUCAUCAGCUAAUUAUCGAGUUUGAAGGCUACAAAAGAUCCUAUCUCACAAAACAAAUAAACAAACAAAAAAGUUGAGAAAAAAAAACAAAUACCAAGACAUGGAAGAUAAUGGAUGAACACGUUUCAAUUUUCCUUUCAUAUCGUACACCAUCACCAUUUUUCUGGAAAUUCAAAUUUUACUGUAAACGAAUGGUAUUGGGACUGGAAAGAUUACAUUUGACUGUAAGUCCUGACCCAGGGGAUCAGUUGCCAUCUUGUAGCCUCUGUGGGGACUAAAAGCAGGUGGUGCAUAUACAUACAUGUAGCAAAACACCCAUAUACCCGAAGAAUAACAAUAAGUCUUUUAAAAAAUGACAUUGCGGCUAAUGCUUCCGGAACUUUUUGUUCAACUUUGCUCAGCUGUAUUGAAAUGGAUGUGUUAAUUUAAAUAUAUAAAUAAGAGGAAAAGCUAAGCACAGAUGACCUAUGAUCCCAAUAGAAGAAAUUAGAAAACAAAUAGCCAAAGAUAAAACAGUAAACAAAGCAAAACAAAAAAUACCACCAGUAGUUAAGGCUGAUAAUUAAGGCAGCAUUAGGGAAACAGAGGUGGGAGGAUCAGACAUCCAAGGCCACAGAGUGAAUUGAAGUCAGUCUAAGAGUGUGAGAACCUGUCUCGAACCAAAAUAAUAAAACCUUUAGACAUUACUAUCAUCAUCGACAGGAAAAUGAAACCUCCCAGCCUAUGAACUAUUGUUUUUAACAGUCUUAUAUUUCUUUCAGGUAGUAAUGAGUUGUUUGGUGUUGUGAAAGCAAGCCCCAUAAAGAAUAUGUUAAUCAUGGUUAUUACAGUCCUUUAAUAAGAUUGUCGUAGUCAGCAGGAUUCGAACCUGCGCGGGAGACCCCAAUGGAUUUCUAAUCCAUCGCCUUAACCACUCGGCCAUGACUACAUGGAAGUAACCUAUGUAUUUAGGAUAAGUAACCUGGCUUAGAUUUGGUUUUUCUAAAGGUGAACUUUUCUACUAGAGAUGCAUUUGUUAUCUCCCACACCACUCCUUCAACUACUUGAGAUCUCCUAAAUAGAAAUAAUUAUUUAGUGGCAGACUGAUAUGCAGCAGCCCUUCAUCCUCAAAGCAGGGAAGACCCUUGGUGUUCUGGUAAAAAGAGAUAUUUUCAGAGACUAGCUUUUCUAUUUUGUCAGAUUCUAUACUGGGAAUCCUUGUGGUACAUCCAACCACUGGGGUAUAAUCUAAAGAAUUGUGAAUUAUGGAAACAAUUCAGAAAACCUGAAUGGCUAUCCUUUGGGAGUGCGGAACAUUAUAUCUAAGUUUUGGAAACCCAACUUACAAAAGUUCUGAAACUAAAUACAUACAUACAUACAUACAUACAUACAUACAUACAUACAUACAUAAAUAAAUAAAUGAAAUAUAAGUCUACAUUGCUGAGAUGAGGUGAACAGCUGGAUGCAGUUUAACCAAAUAAUUCUGGCUACUAAAAUGUACUUUGAAUUUUGCAAAAUAACUCCUUUUAAAUCUUUGACGUCACUUAAUCUUAUGUCUUAAUCAAGGGGGCAGGGGCAGGGAGAAGAGCCCAUGUUCACAUGGCACUGGGGAAUUAGCUUUCUGCAGUAUCUACUGCUUAUGCUCCUGGAUACUGUCUGUGCCUUCAGCAACAUUUCUGGUUGGUUAAACACGGAGAGUUACACAUUUUCCUCAGAUACUUACGGAACUAAACUGGUAAUCAAAUCUUUAAAGGGGACACCUGUGUCAUAUGUUGUGCAUCACAAGCUGGACCUCCAUUCCCCUCUGUUGCUUUUUAUAAUUUGAGUAAUUGCAAAUAUGGAAUAUGCUUCAGGGAAAUAUCAAAUAACAGGCCAAGACUAUUAACUGUUUAUGUCCCCUACCCACUUGCAAAAGAUACAGUUUGCAGUCUAUGGGCAACAAAUGCUUGUUAAGUUACAGACAGUUGAGAAAACAGAAAGAGUUAACCAGAGUUUGUUCUGUAAAUUUUAAUUGAAACUACUAAAAGUGCUUUUAAAAAUAAUGUUCGUUUUUGAUUGGAUUUCUGUAAAAAGAUUCCUAUAUUUAUUCUGGAAAUUGGGUGUGAUUCAAGGUAAAAUAAUUUUCGUUUCUAUAUGCAUAGCUAAUUCAACUGUGCAACACACUAUUGGCUGGGAAUAUCACACCAUGAAUAGAAAUAAUGUAUCAUUUGAUGUCUGAAUGAAUACAUGCAAAAUAUGCCAGUGUCAUACAUACAUGGAUCUCACUCAGGGCUUCACAUAUGUUAGGUGUGCUCUGCCAACGAACUACACUCCCAGCACAUAGAAUCAUAACAUUUCCUGGGCAUGUUUUAUUAUUGUAUAAUUAAAGGGCUGACAACAAUUUGAUUUAAGGAUACCCCAUAUAUUUUUGAACUUUCUUUUUCUGCAUAUAUAUGCAAGACUAAUUAUCAAGUAGAAUUCAAGUAAUGUAACUCUCCAAAACUUAACUAGUGACCAAUUCGCCUCCUUUGGCUCUAGGUUCAACGCCUACAAACACACACACACACACACACACACACACACACACACACACACACACACACACACAGAGAGAGAGAGAGAGAGAGAGAGAGAGAGAGAGAGAGAGAGAAUUCAUAGAACUGUCUUCUAUCUCCAUCCUCCUAACCCCCGUCUCCCCAUAAAAGUCCAACAAUCCGGAGUCUUCAAAAAUAAGCCAGAUUAAGGAGGUUGGAGAGAUAGAUGGUUUAGCUCUUCCAGAGGAUCUGAGAUUGGUUUCCAGCAUCCAAGCCAGUGGCUCUUACCGACCUAUAACCUCAGCCGCAGCAACGAAAUCCAACAACCUUUUCUGGCUUCUGAAGACCCUGACAUACAGUUGAAGAACAGACGAACUCAUAACAAAGUCAAGGCCAGACUGCUAUAGUCAAACCUAUCCUGAAACCUGAACAAUAAAGGAACAAAAACAAAAACAAAAACAAAAAAAGUGGGGGGCCGUCACGGGGUGGGGAGCAAGAGGUGAGGAAAGCUUCCCUGUGCUGUGUGUCACGGAGGUUACUUCUCUUAGUUUACUGUUUAAACAUAUAUUCUAGAGAACCACCUUCAUUUCGCGAAAUUACGAGAUGAAGCACAGGAUACAAAUUUCUAACUUGUCGGUGAAGAGAGGUAAAAUAAAUUAUACCAGUUUUUCAUAUGAUCAUUCUAACCACCGCCCAAGUCUCCGACAUAUAAGAAGUCAGCCCUAUUCAUUUCACUUGACUUGUUGAAGUUUUCAUGUCUUUCUUUAAUCAUUUGUCCUUAGGUAAGACAGAGAAGUGAGCUCACAGUCAAAAUCCUCGGAAAUUCUACACGAAGUUCCUUCCUCCAUCGGAAUCCAGGCUCUGAGGACGUAGUCUUAGCUACAGUUGUGAUACCCCUAACUUUAUUUGAUGAUCUAGAAAAGGGGAUGUGAACUGAAGGCCUGUGAUAUCUGACAUGAAUGAACGAACGGAGUGAACCGAGUAAGGCGUGGUCAUUCCUGGUAACAGCGUCUGUUCCAGUCUCUCUUUUGUUGCGUCUUCUUCCUACCCUCACCCCAUUUGUCUCCUCUUCCCACUCCCUUUUCUCGCUGAGACCUAUGAUCCAGUGUCCAAGACUUUUCACAAUGGGGAGGGCUUCCAGCAUUGUAGAAACUAAUAGUACAUCAGUAACUGCGCUGCUUGCUACAAGCGUCUCUGUGGGUGGACAGAGGUCAAAGGACAGUCAGCUGCUGCCCUUUCCUUCUGUGUGGUUUCCUGACCUAACCCUAACUUAACUAUCAUUACAGCACAGUGCAGAUUAGUAGGAAGGAUGCAUUAAAGUCUGAGCAAGCAGGAUGUGAUUCAUACUCCGUCUGAGAGCAGUAACAAACAAAGCCCUGGUGUAAGCGACACCAGAAGGGAAAGAGGAGCCAUCAGCUUAAUCUGUAUUAUGAUUAUUAAUAAUGAGUAGCAAAUAGUACAAGCCACGUGCAGAUAUUUAGUAUCAUUAUUUACACACAACAAGCUUGGUUCUACUCCAGACAAGGGCCGUCCUAUGAUACUGGAUAACAACAGCACAAGACAAAUGUUUAGAAUAUGAAAUCUAAGUGGGAAUCCUCAUCAAUGAAACAAAUGUUUGAAAUAUGUUUUUAAGGUAGCAUUUCUUUCCCCAGCACAGGAGACAGGCUUUCUUAGAAGAUACUUCAAAAUUAAUUCAUUUUGUUUGCACACCCAUGGGGAUGCUGGAGGGCAACCACAGGAACUGGUUUUUCCCUUCCACCAUGUAGGUCCCAGAGAUGGGACUCAUGUUUCCAAGCUUGGUGGUAAGCACCUUUACCUACUAAGCCAUCUUGAAAGUCCUGAAAGAACCUUUGACAAGGCCUAACUACUGGAACAUAGAGAUGCUCAGAAUGGUUUGAGCAGAACUCUCAAACAGCAUGUUGCAGCUAAAGCUUUUAAAGCAGUGGUUCUCAACCUGUGGGUCUCAACAAGGUGUCAAAUAUCAAAUAUCCUGUAUGUCAGAUAGUUACAUUAUGAUUCCUAACUAAAGGAGCAAAAUUAUAAUGAUGAAGUGGCAGUAACUUUAUGGUUGAGGGUCACCACAUCGAGAACUGUAUUAUAAGGUGGUAGCAUUAGGAAGCUUGAGAAUCAGUGAUUUAAAGGCUACUGUUCUUUUAAAUAAGAAUAUCUAUAAUCUAUUAGAAGAUUUGUCAAUACCUAUGAUGACGUGUGUGUGUGUGUGUGUGUGUGUGUGUGUGAAUGGAUCAUAUUUCAAAACCAGCUGAUCAAAUAAACACCUGGAAAAUCCCA
Non-coding RNA from Rattus norvegicus (Norway rat), 15721 nucleotides. The record is from RefSeq and is a predicted model, not a curated record. NCBI's taxonomy places the organism in Eukaryota, Metazoa, Chordata, Mammalia, Rodentia, Muridae.